This is a small nucleolar RNA of Python bivittatus (Burmese python), 77 nucleotides long. RefSeq annotates it as small nucleolar RNA SNORD19. NCBI's taxonomy places the organism in Eukaryota, Metazoa, Chordata, Lepidosauria, Squamata, Pythonidae. The record is from RefSeq and is a predicted model, not a curated record.
GAGCUGUGAGGAAGCCACAAAAACUUGCUGACCUGCAUCUGGAGACGGUCAGAUCCAACUCUGAGCUCACUGUUCUU